AGUGAACGCUGGCGGUAUGCCUAACACAUGCAAGUCGAACGGCAGCACAGUAAGAGCUCGCUCUUACGGGUGGCGAGUGGCGGACGGGUGAGGAAUACAUCGGCAUCUACUUUUUCUUGGGGGAUUACGGGAGGAAAGUUCUGCUAAUAGCUGAUACUUUCUACGGGUUGAAGCAAAAGAUCAUGGCGCUCUUGCUGUUUGAAUUAGCCGGAUCCGGGCUGCAUUAGCUAGUUGGUAAGGGAACGGCAAACCAAGGCAACGAUGCAUAGCUGAUCUGAGAGGAUGAUCAGCCACACUGGAACUGAGACACGGUCCAGACUCCUACGGGAGGCAGCAGUAGGGAAUAUUCGACAAUGGGCGAAAGCCUGACCGAGCAACACCGCGUGAGUGAAGAAGGUCUUCGGAUUGUAAAGCUCUGUUGUUGGGGAAGAAAAGAUGUGGGUGAAUACGCGGCUGUUCUGACGGUACCCAAAGAAUAAGCAACGGCUAACUUCGUG
Molecule: ribosomal RNA, 497 nt
Filed under: uncultured bacterium
Lineage: Bacteria
Description: partial 16S ribosomal RNA
Rfam family: Bacterial small subunit ribosomal RNA
Source: RNAcentral